RNAcentral lists this ribosomal RNA (253 nucleotides) under uncultured bacterium. RNAcentral describes it as "partial 16S ribosomal RNA". It matches the Rfam family "Bacterial small subunit ribosomal RNA", at positions 524 to 776 of the family's 1533-position model. The record is from RNAcentral.
UACAGAGGGUGCGAGCGUUAAUCGGAAUUACUGGGCGUAAAGCGCGCGUAGGCGGCUUUGCAAGUCGGGUGUGAAAUCCCCAGGCUUAACCUGGGAACUGCAUUCGAGACUGCAUUGCUAGAGUAUGGGAGAGGGAAGUGGAAUUUCCGGUGUAGCGGUGAAAUGCGUAGAUAUCGGAAGGAACAUCAGUGGCGAAAGCGGCUCUCUGGUCCCAUACUGACGCUGAGGCGCGAAAGCUAGGGUAGCAAACAGG